AAAUAAUCUCAUUCUGAGGAUUUCAACAUUGGGUCCUCUCGGAGCUUGUCAUCCCCUGCAGAGUACUGGUCCAGCAUGCAGUUCUAUUCAGAGAUCAUGACGAGGGAGAAGUUUUUGGAUUUUUUUGAAUAUAUUUACCUACUGAAUACUUUUGUCUCCUGGAUGCAGGAUUUGGACAUUCCCGAAGCUGACCUUCCAGCACCAUUUAACCAGAGAAGUAUCAACAUGAAGGUGGAGCCGACGUCCAAGGACGUGUCAGCUUUACUGCAGAUGGAUGUAUUAAAUUCAUCCCAUCUCUCUCCAUCUUUCUGUAGACGCUUUUCUCAGAAGGCUUUUGCUGCAGAGAAAGAAAAGACUCACCUACUUUCACCCAUUAAAUCUUCUUGUGUGGCUAAUCAAGAAACUGGAGGAACAAGAACGUUUCCCAACACUUCUUCCGAAUCCACAGCCACUAUCCUAGUGACUCAGACUUCACAUUGUGUUAGCUCUGCCACAUCUGGUAAUACUCCUACAAAGCUGGCUUCUGCAGAAAGUGACAAUCUAGUUGUUGAAACACCUGCACAAUCUACUCCAAUGAGAUUAAUUUCACCAAAUAGAUCAGUGCUUACCUGUGAAGAUGAGUGCAAGAAUGGAACAAGCCAAAACUCCACACCUGGCAAUCUGACUGCAAAGAGGUCAUUAGAUUUUUAUACUUUGGAUGGUGAUAAUACUUCUCAGGACUUCACUACUGAUGAGAAUAAGAUGGAGUAUUCUAAAGGUGUUUGCAGUACUCUUCCUCGAAUGAAAAUGAAAGGGAUUUCUGUAAAGGUUGAUACUGUUCUUUCCAAGGUAAAAAUUAGCAGUUACUUGUGUUUAGUUUUUAACAUUGCAGUAGCCGGUUAAAUAAUUUGCAAUUUAGAGUCUCCGUGGACCUUUAUUAGGGCUUAUUUGUUUCUUGCUGUCUGAAGAUGAUAUGCUCAUUUGUUCUGUCUUGGACAUGUUCUUAUAAUUUAAGAUGCUAACGAUCUUGCAAAAUUUAUAGAAUAGAUUUAACCUCCGUUUGGAUACAAUUUAUUAUUGGUUUAUAAAUUCAGCCAAAGUCAAACAUACACUUCAACCACACAUUAUUAUCCUCACAUUUUGUGGGACCUCCUCUUUGUAAAUCGAUUUAUAAAUUUUCUAAAUGGAGGCUUAAAUCAGAUAAUCAUGAUUACUAAUAUUGCUAUAUGUAUCAGCAUUCACAGUGGUUUAUUGCUAAAUAAGAUUCACACUUGAAUAUGAAAGUGAAUUUCUUAAAGUGAAUUUCUUAAUAUUCAUUGGGUACUUCUGCUAGAAAAUUGUUACUUAGGUUAGGAACACCAAGGACUGUGAAGAAAGCCGUCAAACAAUUCUAAAGAGAGCAUAAAGAUUCCCCAUAAGACCAAGGGAUGCACACUUUUUUCCCCUUCGUGUUGGAUCACAUAUUUACAUUUCGGGCUGGCAUGCCCAUAACUGUUAUUAUCAGCAGGCACAGUGGUUUAUUGCUAAAUAACCUCCAUGCUUGAAUAUGAAAGUGAAUUUCUUAUUUUUUCAUUGGGUACUUUUGCUAGAAAAACUACUCAGGUUAGGAAUACCAAGGAUUGUAAAAGGCACCAUCAAACAAUUCUAAAGUGAGCAUAAAGGUUCCCCAAAAGGCCACAGGAUGCAAUUCAUUUUUUUUUCCUUUCACUGUUUGUUCAAAUAUUUACUUUUCAGGUUGGCACGCAAGUUUAUUAUCAAUUUUAGGAUGAGUAAAGUUGUUUAAAACUUCAUUGUGUUACACCAAUUAUUAAAUCAUUUUAUUGUUCACAACUGACCAUAAAAUUCAAUGGGAUAGGUCGAGGAGAGCAGUUGCUACAUUGAUGACCAUGAGCUGAAUCAGAAGAAACUUAGUUCACACCAGCAGAGAUCUAUUUGUUUGUCUGAUCUUGUUCUCUUAAUUCACUAUGUCUUUCAAUCUGUUAGCUUUCGUUCAAUCACAAAGGAAGAACUAGUUCACAAGAUUAUUCUGAACAACUGUGAUAUUGAUGACAGCAGUAAGCUCAAAUGCUGUACUUUAUUUUCUUCCCCUUUUCCUAUUUCUAUGUAAAAGUUUCAAAAGCAUUCCUGUGUAUAUCUAGGUGAGGUCCUGAUGCAAAUAGAGCAACUGGAGAAACUGGUUCCAGACUGGUUUUAUAAGCAGCUUGCUCCUUGUGGAGACCAACUAUACAAGUUAGUAUUUCUUCCUUUUUUGCAGUCAUAUGUUGGCUAUAAGGGUGGUGCCAGUGGGCUCCCAUCAAGCUUGUCGUGUUGCUGUAAUCUUUAAUUGCAUCUAUGAGAUAAUAACUGGGAUGGGAAAGGGCUUGACCAGUGUGAAAAUUCUGCUGUUUACUUAGCUAUAUAUGUCGUAAACAUUCACAUCAGUAACUGUGCUGUUGUACAUUUAACCUUGAGAAAGGUGCCAUCCCCAAGACAGAUUGUAAGGUGCAAUACUACUAGAAUUUAAUCACUUCUGUUCUUAAAUCAGAGGAAUUGGUUUCUCUUAUCACAGUUCAGCAUGUCUUUAAAUUUUUACUAAAAUAAAAGAUGUUCUACGGUGGUAUAAAUCUCUACAUUUUCUGGUGAAUUUCAGUGUGAAAAAAGUGUCAGACUUGAACUCAGUUCGUGAAAGAGUUAACAUUGUAUGAUCCAAUUGAACUGAGGUGAGUAUUUUAGCUUGCUACAUGUUUCUCUGCUUGUUUGAUAUAGACGUGCAAUCCUAAUGUUAGUAGGAAACAUUCUAAGACACAGGAAAAUACUGAGAAUGGCGUUGCACAAAAUUGGUGUAAUGAUAUAUUAUAUUCAAUUUGUAGGGGCAUAUUUGCUUUAGAUUGGACUAUUUCAAAAUUAGAACAGCUUCUGAAAGUCGAAGAGUUGAAAUGGUGUUCCUGAUUUACGAGUAAUUUGGCAGUUUCCCCUUCAGAUUGUAGACGAUGCCUGCAAUGGACUCUACCUCUACUGGAUAGUUGGUGGAUGUUCAAGGUUUUUUACCUCUACUAGUAGGUUUAUAUGUAUUUUAUGCAUGUAUGUUAAAGGAGCAAAUGCGUAUAACAAUAUUGUGGGUGCAUAAUUUCUCUCCUUUUUCCUUUAAUCUUAUCAUAAUUCUACAUUAU
This 3128-nucleotide long non-coding RNA is filed under the name Olea europaea subsp. europaea. Lineage: Eukaryota; Viridiplantae; Streptophyta; Magnoliopsida; Lamiales; Oleaceae. The record is from RNAcentral.